GGCUUUGUCCCGUGCGCUCCUCGGGAGCAGGGCCCAGGCUGGCACAGCCCCUGCCCUUACUCCUGCACCCCAGGGCCGCCGGGUCCUGUGCUGAGGAGCUGGGAGGCUGGCGGGGAAGGGAAAGGGGUCCCCGACCACUGUCUCCAGCGAGCAGAGUGGGUACGCCGCUGGGGUACGGGCGUGCUCAGCAAAGUAGGGCAGCUUUUGCCACGAGCAAAGCUCUGCACCUUAAGUCACUGAAGGCUUGUGCGUAGGUAAGAGGCAAAGCCACGCUUCUGGGAUGAGAGACCACGCUGCCCUGCCCAAGUAAUAAGCUGGAAAACACAAGCACAGCUCCUUGGCCUGCUGUGUUUGCAAGUGCCUGGGGUACAAAUGAGGCGCAGCAGCCUGUACUAACAAGAUUGCCAGAAGCCAGACUGGGGAGUGAGGAGCUGUUCUGGGAACAUACUCCCAGACUGGUCACCAUGCCUGCCCCCAGCUGUGAUCAAUUCCCCAGUAACCUUCACCAGGUUAACCUGCAACAUGCCUGACAGGAAUCCAGACACCUCAGUUGGCUGAGGCAAAGAAAAUAUUUCCUCCCCAGCCUAGCACAUUUUCACUGUGACAAAUGGGUGUCCAGGUCUCUUCACACAUAGCACAAUAGCUUUGUGCCAGAGUCUUUGCCAGGCUAGUCUCUUGUCUUUGGCCCUUAAAAUUCUCAUCUAAGGAAAUACUCCAGCUCCUAUUGAUUCUGAGCUACUUCUGUGCCUGCACAAAGGUUUAGCCUCUGAUUGCAAAUGGAGCAUGCAAGAGAUUAACAACCCUAUGGAUUUAAUCUCAGGGUUUAUGAAAUGCUUCUCCUACACGUGCAAGCAAAGCAAUCAGCUGCUGGCUGGAGCGUUCAGAGGCACGGGGCUUGGUGUGAGCUGUGUGUCUCCAGGUGUCAUGGAGAUGUUAAACAGCUGUCCCGUACCUUUGCUGGCAAGCUGA
This 969-nucleotide long non-coding RNA is filed under the name Anas platyrhynchos platyrhynchos (common mallard). RNAcentral describes it as "lncRNA (ENSAPLG00000027880.1)". Lineage: Eukaryota; Metazoa; Chordata; Aves; Anseriformes; Anatidae. The record is from RNAcentral.